AAAGGCCUGAGCUAUGUAGAGGAACUGUUGAAUUUGUUGCUACCAAGGAGUUCAUGAUUCGAGAUCCAAUGCCAGCUGUGUUUUUCUUCCUUGUUGAUGUUUCGAUGAAUGCUGUACAGACCGGUGCAACCGCAGCUGCAUGCAGUGCAAUACAUGAGGCAAUUGCAGAUCUUCCUGAAAAUCCACGGACAAUGGUUGGCAUCGCGACAUUUGAUUCGGCCAUUCAUUUUUACAAUUUGAAACGGGCUCUACAACAGCCUUUGAUGUUAAUCGUUCCCGACGUACAAGAUGUUUAUACUCCUCUCCACACGGAUCUGAUCGUUCAGCUUGCUGAG
RNAcentral lists this unclassified non-coding RNA (335 nucleotides) under Hevea brasiliensis (rubber tree). The record is from RNAcentral. Lineage: Eukaryota; Viridiplantae; Streptophyta; Magnoliopsida; Malpighiales; Euphorbiaceae.